GGGGAAGUGGCUCAGUGGUAGAGUGUUUGCCUCGCAUGCAUGAAGCCCUGGGUUCGAUUCCUCAGCACCA
RNAcentral lists this transfer RNA (70 nucleotides) under Dipodomys ordii (Ord's kangaroo rat). It matches the Rfam family "tRNA". From Rfam's summary of the family: Transfer RNA (tRNA) molecules are approximately 80 nucleotides in length. Their secondary structure includes four short double-helical elements and three loops (D, anti-codon, and T loops). Lineage: Eukaryota; Metazoa; Chordata; Mammalia; Rodentia; Heteromyidae. The record is from Rfam by way of RNAcentral.